ACACACUCUCCUCAUAAUUACAUAAUUAUCUGUUGUUAAUUAACUUUUAAUCUGAGUCCGACUUUUUCAACCCAAGAAAAGGUACAAAUACCCAUCGGCUGGAUUUGCAUAAUUAUACUAUUAAGACAUCAUUUGAGUGCUUAGACACUUGUUAUGCUCAUCACAAAACGACAGCGUAUCCUUACUACUCUCCUCCGCCAUCACCUCCGCCUCUUUCUCCUCCAACUCCGUUAACCAACCUCCGCCCGACUGCCUGAACCUUCAAGUUUGGUUAGCCAAACUCUAUCCCCACUGACCGUUUAUAGAUU
This 308-nucleotide long non-coding RNA is filed under the name Carica papaya (papaya). Its description in RNAcentral is "long non-coding RNA (CPAP_LNC009752)". Lineage: Eukaryota; Viridiplantae; Streptophyta; Magnoliopsida; Brassicales; Caricaceae. The record is from RNAcentral.